AAUAUUGGAUAAUGGGCUCCAGCCUGACCCAGCCAUGCCGCGUCUGCGAAGAACUUCUUCGCAUUGUAUAGCACUUUAAGUUGGGAGGAAGGGUUGUCGAUUACUACUCUGCAAUUUUCCCGUUCCCAACAGCAUAAGCCCCGGCUAACUUCGUGCCAGCAGGCGCGUUAAUACGAAGGGUGCAAGCGUUAAUCGGAAUUACUGGGCGUAAAGCGCGCGUAGGUGGGUUGUAAAGUUGGAAGUGAAAGCCCCGGGCUCAACCUGGGAACUGCUUUAAAAACUGGCAAGCUAGAGUAUGGCAGAGGGUGGUGGAAUUUCCUGUGUAGCGGUGAAAUGCGUAGAUAUAGGAAGGAACACCAGUGGCGAAGGCGACUACCUGGACUGAUACUGACACUGAGGUGCGAAAGCGUGGGGAGCAAA
This 420-nucleotide ribosomal RNA is filed under the name uncultured bacterium. RNAcentral's name for it is "partial 16S ribosomal RNA". It matches the Rfam family "Bacterial small subunit ribosomal RNA", at positions 360 to 772 of the family's 1533-position model. The record is from RNAcentral.